Molecule: ribosomal RNA, 449 nt
Filed under: uncultured bacterium
Lineage: Bacteria
Description: partial 16S ribosomal RNA
Rfam family: Bacterial small subunit ribosomal RNA
Source: RNAcentral
AACGAACGCUGGCGGCAUGCCUAACACAUGCAAGUCGAACGAGAAAGAAGGGUCUAGUGGCGCACGGGUGCGUAACGCGUGGGAAUCUGCCCUCUGGUACGUAAUAACUCAGGGAAACUUGAGCUAAUACCGUAUAAUGACUUCGGUCCGAAGAUUUAUCGCCUGAGGAUGAGCCCGCGUCGGCUUAGCUAGUUGGUGAGGUAAAGGCUCACCAAGGCGACGAUCCGUAGCUGGUCUGAGAGGAUGAUCAGCCACACUGGGACUGAGACACGGCCCAGACUCCUACGGGAGGCAGCAGUGGGGAAUAUUGGACAAUGGGCGAAAGCCUGAUCCAGCAAUGCCGCGUGAGUGAUGAAGGCCUUAGGGUUGUAAAGCUCUUUUACCCGGGAUGAUAAUGACAGUACCGGGAGAAUAAGCCCCGGCUAACUCCGUGCCAGCAGCCGCCGCCG